CAUACACAAGACCGGGGUGUGCAGCCCUGUUUGGAUCCACAUGACCACCUCCGUAAUCGAAUGGGUUUGCCUGAUUGUAGGGUGCCGCCUCGGAUACAAUCUCAAACCCAUAUGUGUCUUGGACAUUAGCUGCAACAGGACUCCAAUUAGGAUGCAUUGAUUUGAGGAGAGCAACAACUCCUGAAAUGUGUGGGCAGGACAUCGAGGUUCCUGAAUCAAUCUUGAAGUUCACAGAUCCAAUGGCUGAUGAUAUGGCAGCAGCAGGAGUCCAUGCGGCCAAAAUGUUGACACCUGGAGCAGCGAUGUCUGGCUGCAGAAGAAGGUGCAGGGUUUUUUCAGCCAAGUAGGAAAGGCAGUAAUGUAGAAGUUUGAUCAACUGUUGAACUGGAGGAGAUUUUUUACCUUCAGGACAGAGGGGGACAGAGAACUUGGACCCCGAGAUGAGAAAUACGCAACUUCUGGGCCUAUCAGUUCUCCAAGAAUUGUUUUUGCUGAGCCAGACUGAACUGUUGGGUUUCUGUGUAUGAAAAAUAGAAAUUAUUGGAAGUUGCUGAUACCAACAGCAUAUUGCUAGAUUGUUGUAACUGUUGAAACAUGUGCGGCACUGUUUGCAUACCUCAUGCUAGUAGUGUAUGCAAGUAUAGCUGUUCCAA
Sorghum bicolor (sorghum) is the source of this 653-nucleotide long non-coding RNA. RefSeq lists it as uncharacterized. The transcript has 2 exons. Lineage: Eukaryota; Viridiplantae; Streptophyta; Magnoliopsida; Poales; Poaceae. The record is from RefSeq and is a predicted model, not a curated record.